CGUGAUAUUGCUUCGGCUCAUC
Molecule: microRNA, 22 nt
Filed under: Corchorus olitorius
Lineage: Eukaryota; Viridiplantae; Streptophyta; Magnoliopsida; Malvales; Malvaceae
Description: csi-miR4
Source: RNAcentral